RNAcentral lists this long non-coding RNA (976 nucleotides) under Phascolarctos cinereus (koala). RNAcentral describes it as "lncRNA (ENSPCIG00000032016.1)". The record is from RNAcentral. Lineage: Eukaryota; Metazoa; Chordata; Mammalia; Diprotodontia; Phascolarctidae.
AGUGAGUAAACAAAAGUUAUUGAUGCUUUUUCAGUCAUUUCCAGAUACGUGCCUUCUCCUUCAGUAAGUUUUCUCUUUCAACAAAGAAAAGCAUUCAAGCAAAAUCAAUGGCUAUAGUGGCCACAUCUGGCAAAGUAUGCAGAAUUUCAUAGCCAUAGCACUCCACUUCUCUACUGAAAGAGGAAGAUGCUUAAUGGAAAUCUUUUAAAGGUACUCAUUGGGAUGGUCCUUCCCCCUCAGGAAGCAUGGACAGCACAGCUCAAUCCCAGGACAGAAUCUCAAAGUUGGAAAGGAUCUCAGUGGGCUUCUAUUUCAACCUGUUCUGGGGUAGGAUUCCCCUCUACAGUGGUCCCAGCCUUUGCUUGAAGACUUCCAGUAAGGGUAAACCCAUGACCCACCAAGGAAGUUGACCGACUUUUGGACAGGUUUAAUUGUAAGGAAGUUUCUUUGGCUAUCAAAUCUAAAACUGACUUCUUUGUAACUUCUACCCAUGUCUCUUAGUUCUGCUGCCUGGCACCAAGCGAGAGAAGGCUGACCCUUCCUCCACUUGACAGCCCAUCAGAUACUUGAAGACAGCCAUUGUUGUGUCUCCUGUCUUCUCUUCUGCAGGAUAUAUGUCCUUAAUUCUUUUAAUUGACCCUCACAUGGCACGCUUGGAGGAUUUUUUGAGAACCUCGUUCUCCAGUCAUUAGAAUCUCCUUGAGAACAUAAAUAGAUCAGAGUAUUGACAUCUUUGGAAAACAGCCUCACAAUGGAGAUGAUGGGAUAUCAUGGGAAGAAGACUGAACCAAGUUCUUGUCCUGGAUCUGUCAGCAACUAGAUGGGUAACCUUGAGUAAGUCACUUAACCUCUGUCUGUAUUCAUUUACUUAGUUGUGAAAUGGAGAGAAUAAUGCCAUCCUUUAUGUAUACACGACGAUGUUGUGGGGGUCAAAAGGAAGUAAUAUAUGCAAAAGCAUGGUGAAUGCUGUUCCAGA